CGUCAAAUCAUCAUGCCCUAUAUGUCCUGGGCAACACACGUACUACAAUGGCUACAACAGAGAGAAACGAAUACGCGAGUAGGAGUAAAACUAAGAAAAGUAGUCUCAGUUCGGAUUGAAGGCUGAAAUUCGCCUUCAUGAAGUCGGAAUUGCUAGUAAUUGCAGGUCAGCAUACUGCAGUGAAUACGUUCCCGGCUCUU
RNAcentral lists this ribosomal RNA (200 nucleotides) under uncultured prokaryote. RNAcentral describes it as "partial 16S ribosomal RNA". It matches the Rfam family "Bacterial small subunit ribosomal RNA", at positions 1183 to 1382 of the family's 1533-position model. The record is from RNAcentral.